GGGAGGAGGUCCAGCAGAGCCCCACCAGGAGCAGCUGGGGCCGCGCUGAAGCCAUCUUUGCAUGGAGCUGGGAGGGGAUGGGGAGCAACCCCCCCCCCCCAAGCACACACACACUAUGCUCACGUCAGCUCCAGCCCAUCACAUCCAGAGCUUGGCCAUGGGGCAGAGGCACAGAGCUGGAGUCCUGUUAGCGGCUGCUCCUUUCUAUUUAAAUGAAAGGAAUAACUGUGAAGCAUGAUAAAAAUCUCUAUCUUUCCCCUCUGGCUUGCAGAUAGGAGCCCCACAACUGUUCCUAUUGGAAAUUCAAUUCCAAUCAGCGCGUUGGCAGGAAAGGAUUAGGGCUGGUGCCAAAACACAUUCAUCCCAGCCAACUCUUCCCAGAGCCUCCCCAGGGCCACCCCAGUGCCCACCAAGGGCCGGUUGCAGGACACCAGCUCCUCCCACCUCCUCAGUUUGUCCUGCGGGGGUAUGGGUCACCCCAACGAGGUGUCACCACACACCUCUCCAUGCUCAGUAUGGGCACAGGGCGCUCGAUGCUGGGAGCCCUGACACAGCAAAACACAUCCCGUGGGGUUUGGUUGCCUUGCUGCAUGUGGGAUGCUGGAGACAGAGCCAGGAGCAGAGGACUUUGAGCCAUCGGAAUUUUUAGGAGAUAAAACUGGAUAAAAAGGAGGAAGGUAGAGGCAUUACCCACAGCAUCUUAUCUGAUCUGGCACUCAAGCCUACUAUUGCCUCCACUUCCCUGUCUCGAGGAGGUUUUUAAACGCGUGCAGCUACAAAUCACCCCUUCCAGUUGAAGUGUCAGAUUAAAUCAAGACAAACGCUCCCCUGUUCCACACCCCCCCUCAGCUGGGCCCAGUUCCCAAACCCCCACCUCUCCCCGCCUGGCACCACCCCAAGCUUUGCCCUGGGAGACCGCUUCAGCCCCAGUGCCGCCAGCAAGGAAGUUUUUGCAACAGGCAGAUUGCCGGCAGGCUGCCCCGGUCCCCCCUUUAAGCUCAUUACCGGAGAGCUGGAGCUCAUCCUGGCACCCAGACGGCCCCGCAUCCCGCAGGGGUGGGCACCUCCUGUCUCCACUUCGGGGCUGAGGCUGAAUCCAAAGACAGAAAACCGCCUCCCCAGGAGAUCUGCAGGGAAGGAACGCUUGUUCUGGAGGCUGAAUGUUUAUCGACAGGGCUGCAGUGCACAGCUGGAAGCUAAGCAUCCAAAACUGGAAGUCUCUGCUCAAGAAUCUCCAUGCAGUCAGCUGAGCAGCACUGAGACUGAAAGCUGCUAGCACAAAAAGCUCAAGACCCCCUAUUGCUCCUCCGUUU
Molecule: long non-coding RNA, 1313 nt
Filed under: Phasianus colchicus (ring-necked pheasant)
Lineage: Eukaryota; Metazoa; Chordata; Aves; Galliformes; Phasianidae
Description: lncRNA (ENSPCLG00000010165.1)
Source: RNAcentral